This 73-nucleotide transfer RNA is filed under the name Paramuricea clavata. It matches the Rfam family "tRNA". From Rfam's summary of the family: Transfer RNA (tRNA) molecules are approximately 80 nucleotides in length. Their secondary structure includes four short double-helical elements and three loops (D, anti-codon, and T loops). Lineage: Eukaryota; Metazoa; Cnidaria; Anthozoa; Malacalcyonacea; Plexauridae. The record is from Rfam by way of RNAcentral.
GACCGCGUAGCUCAGUUGGCAGAGCAUUGGGCUAGUAUUCCAAAGGUUGCAGGUUCGAUUCCCACUGUGGCCA